This 221-nucleotide long non-coding RNA is filed under the name Lathyrus oleraceus (garden pea). RNAcentral describes it as "Pisum sativum (pea) long non-coding RNA (PSAT_LNC039417)". Lineage: Eukaryota; Viridiplantae; Streptophyta; Magnoliopsida; Fabales; Fabaceae. The record is from RNAcentral.
AGCCGAACGGGUGAAUUUUUCCUUGCGUUAACCGGUUAACCAUAUGCAUUAACCGGUUAACACUGUUUGAAAUCUGUUCAAAAAUCAGUUUUCUGCCUUGCGUUAACCGGUUAACCAAAUGCUUUAACCGGUUAACACUGUUUUGAAAAACUCAGAAAAUUGAAUUUCGUCUUGCGUUAACCGGUUAACCAUAUGCGUUAACCGGUUAACACUGUUUGAAA